Molecule: ribosomal RNA, 484 nt
Filed under: uncultured bacterium
Lineage: Bacteria
Description: partial 16S ribosomal RNA
Rfam family: Bacterial small subunit ribosomal RNA
Source: RNAcentral
AUUGAACGCUGGCGGCAUGCUUUACACAUGCAAGUCGAACGGCAGCGCGGGCUUCGGCCUGGCGGCGAGUGGCGAACGGGUGAGUAAUGCAUCGGAACGUGCCCAGUAGUGUGGGAUAGCCCGGCGAAAGCCGGAUUAAUACCGCAUACGACCUGAGGUUGAAAGCGGGGGACCGAAAGGCCUCGCGCUAUUGUAGCGGCCGAUGUCGGAUUAGCUAGUUGGUGGGGUAAAGGCUUACCAAGGCGACGAUCCGUAGCUGGUCUGAGAGGACGACCAGCCACACUGGGACUGAGACACGGCCCAGACUCCUACGGGAGGCAGCAGUGGGGAAUUUUGGACAAUGGGGGCAACCCUGAUCGAGCCAUGCCGCGUGAGGGAAGAAGGCCUUCGGGUUGUAAACCGCUUUUGUUCGGGAAGAAAUCCUCUGGGAUAAUACCCCGGGGGGAUGACGGUACCGGAAGAAUAAGCCCCGGCUAACUACGUG